Molecule: non-coding RNA, 137 nt
Organism: Caenorhabditis elegans
Lineage: Eukaryota; Metazoa; Nematoda; Chromadorea; Rhabditida; Rhabditidae
Source: Ensembl
AAAAAAGAGAGCAACAUUUGUUUUUCAUGGGAUUUAUUGCUCCAUGUGGAGCACUGCUGCUCGAUCUGGAAAUGGACAUGAACAAUGGAAAAAAAAGGUUUUUGGGUUAGAAAUGGAAAGUUAUAUGAAUGAAGUAG